Non-coding RNA from Lepisosteus oculatus (spotted gar), 124 nucleotides. The record is from RefSeq and is a predicted model, not a curated record. NCBI's taxonomy places the organism in Eukaryota, Metazoa, Chordata, Actinopteri, Semionotiformes, Lepisosteidae.
CUCGGGGCUGUGAGAGCCGGGGACAGGGAGGUGGCGGUGUGGAGCUCAAGAGGUACACUGCCACUGUGACGGAGUACAGCAAGAAACCCAAAGCCCCUCCAGCCAAUACCUACUGGGGUGAGAA